Molecule: ribosomal RNA, 206 nt
Filed under: uncultured bacterium
Lineage: Bacteria
Description: partial 16S ribosomal RNA
Rfam family: Bacterial small subunit ribosomal RNA
Source: RNAcentral
CACGUAGGCGGACCAUUAAGUCGGGGUGAAAUCCCGGGGCUCAACCCCGGAACUGCCUUCGAUACUGGUGGUCUGGAGGUCGAGAGAGGCGAGUGGAAUUCCGAGUGUAGAGGUGAAAUUCGUAGAUAUUCGGAGGAACACCAGUGGCGAAGGCGGCUCGCUGGCUCGAUACUGACGCUGAGGUGCGAAAGCGUGGGGAGCAAACA